RNAcentral lists this ribosomal RNA (253 nucleotides) under uncultured bacterium. RNAcentral describes it as "partial 16S ribosomal RNA". It matches the Rfam family "Bacterial small subunit ribosomal RNA", at positions 524 to 776 of the family's 1533-position model. The record is from RNAcentral.
UACGAAGGGUGCAAGCGUUACUCGGAAUUACUGGGCGUAAAGCGUGCGUAGGUGGUUCGUUAAGUCCGAUGUGAAAGCCCCGGGCUUAACCUGGGAACUGCGUCUUAAACUGCACGGCUAGAGUACUGUAGAGGGUAGUGGAAUUUCCGGUGUAGCGGUGAAAUGCGUAGAGAUCGGAAGGAACACCAGUGGCGAAGGCGGCUACCUGGACAGAUACUGACACUGAGGCGCGAAAGCGUGGGGAGCAAACAGG